GAGGGUGUAGCUCAAGUGGUAGAGCACAUGCUUAGCAUGCAUGAGGUCGUGGGUUCAAUCCUCAGUACCUCCA
Molecule: transfer RNA, 73 nt
Filed under: Camelus bactrianus (Bactrian camel)
Lineage: Eukaryota; Metazoa; Chordata; Mammalia; Artiodactyla; Camelidae
Also listed under: 2 other names
Rfam family: tRNA
About the family: Transfer RNA (tRNA) molecules are approximately 80 nucleotides in length. Their secondary structure includes four short double-helical elements and three loops (D, anti-codon, and T loops).
Source: Rfam by way of RNAcentral